This 527-nucleotide unclassified non-coding RNA is filed under the name Hevea brasiliensis (rubber tree). Lineage: Eukaryota; Viridiplantae; Streptophyta; Magnoliopsida; Malpighiales; Euphorbiaceae. The record is from RNAcentral.
GCAGCAUAUGAUUCAUGGCAGGUAAGCACUUUACUAGUGCUUUAUGUACACGUUGAUUUUUUAAUACAUAAAAUGGCUUUUUUUUUCAUCUCAUUAAUUAUUGCUGUAAGAUGUCUAUACCCAUAGAGGGAUACACUAGUUGUCAGAAUCAUUGGUCUAAUGCUUCUUGUUCUUAAAUAUAUAUUGAACAUUUUUCUCACAUAAGACUCCCCCAUUGUCUUAGUGUUAAAAUUGAAAGGAAAAAAUGGAUGCUUCUUUUCUUUGAAGUGGAAAACAACUCUUGUGCUAUGUACAAAGUAGAAUUUCAGGAUGUCAAUUGCAAACUUUUGCUUCAUGUCCUUCUUCUUCUUCUUCCUUAAACCCAUAGCAUUGUUUUCUCUAAAUAUUUAUGUAAUUAAUUUCUAUUAACAGCGCAGAGGCAUUCUAAUUUUUCUUGUAGCAGGUGGUUCUAUUUGCAAAUUUUAAGUUUUGUUUUGUGUUUUUAAUCCUUCAUAUUAUUCAACUGAUUCAGAUUAAGAAUAUUUUGG